This 87-nucleotide ribosomal RNA is filed under the name Gossypium arboreum. Lineage: Eukaryota; Viridiplantae; Streptophyta; Magnoliopsida; Malvales; Malvaceae. The record is from RNAcentral.
GUGUUUGACCAUGCGAACUUUUUGAGUGCUUGGGCGAGAGUAGUACUAGGAUGGGUGACCUCCUGGGAAGUCCUCGUGUUGCACCCC